AUGGCCAACAAAAAUUCCAACGAAGGAGUUAAGACUGAAAACAACGAUCAUAUUAAUUUGAAGGUGGUGGGACAGGAUGAUUCUGUGGUGCAGUUUAAGAUUAAGAGGCAUACGCCACUUAGUAAAUUAAUGAACGCCUACUGUGAAUGACAGGGAUUGUCAACGAGGCGGAUCAGAUUCCAAUUUGACUGGUAACCAAUCAAUGAAACACAUGUAACUGCGCAGUUGGAAAUGGAGGAUGAAGGUACAAUUGAUGUGUUCCAACAGCAGACGGGA
Molecule: long non-coding RNA, 276 nt
Filed under: Homo sapiens (human)
Lineage: Eukaryota; Metazoa; Chordata; Mammalia; Primates; Hominidae
Description: non-protein coding lnc-XRCC2-11:1
Source: RNAcentral